RNAcentral lists this ribosomal RNA (547 nucleotides) under Escherichia coli. RNAcentral's name for it is "partial 23S ribosomal RNA". It matches the Rfam family "Bacterial large subunit ribosomal RNA", at positions 2317 to 2858 of the family's 2925-position model. Lineage: Bacteria; Pseudomonadati; Pseudomonadota; Gammaproteobacteria; Enterobacterales; Enterobacteriaceae. The record is from RNAcentral.
UUGGCUAAUCCUGGUCGGACAUCAGGAGGUUAGUGCAAUGGCAUAAGCCAGCUUGACUGCGAGCGUGACGGCGCGAGCAGGUGCGAAAGCAGGUCAUAGUGAUCCGGUGGUUCUGAAUGGAAGGGCCAUCGCUCAACGGAUAAAAGGUACUCCGGGGAUAACAGGCUGAUACCGCCCAAGAGUUCAUAUCGACGGCGGUGUUUGGCACCUCGAUGUCGGCUCAUCACAUCCUGGGGCUGAAGUAGGUCCCAAGGGUAUGGCUGUUCGCCAUUUAAAGUGGUACGCGAGCUGGGUUUAGAACGUCGUGAGACAGUUCGGUCCCUAUCUGCCGUGGGCGCUGGAGAACUGAGGGGGGCUGCUCCUAGUACGAGAGGACCGGAGUGGACGCAUCACUGGUGUUCGGGUUGUCAUGCCAAUGGCACUGCCCGGUAGCUAAAUGCGGAAGAGAUAAGUGCUGAAAGCAUCUAAGCACGAAACUUGCCCCGAGAUGAGUUCUCCCUGACUCCUUGAGAGUCCUGAAGGAACGUUGAAGACGACGACGUUGAUA